AAUGAACGCUGGCGGCAGGCCUAACACAUGCAAGUCGAGCGGAGUGGCGAACGGGUGAGUAACACGUGGGUGACCUGCUCUGCACUUCGGGAUAAGCCUGGGAAACUGGGUCAAAUACCGGAUAGUGUGGGAUGGGCCCGCGGCCUAGCAGCUUGUUGGUGGGGUUAUGGACUAGCAAGGCGGCGACGGGUGGCCGGCCUGGGAGGGUGGACGGGCACAGAGGGACUGGGAAGCGAGCCAGACUCAUACGGGGGGAAGGAGGGGAGAAUAGUGCAAGAUAGGCGGAGGGAUGGAGCAGGGACUCCGGGUGGGGGAGGACUGUCUUCGGGUAGUAAACUCCGUGCACCAUCGACGCGGUAGAUGGAGAGGAAGCACCGGCUAACUACGUGCCAGCAGCCGCGGUAAUAC
RNAcentral lists this ribosomal RNA (408 nucleotides) under uncultured bacterium. RNAcentral describes it as "partial 16S ribosomal RNA". It matches the Rfam family "Bacterial small subunit ribosomal RNA", at positions 28 to 526 of the family's 1533-position model. The record is from RNAcentral.